This is a long non-coding RNA of Abrus precatorius (Indian licorice), 258 nucleotides long. RefSeq lists it as uncharacterized. The record is from RefSeq and is a predicted model, not a curated record. The transcript has 3 exons. Lineage: Eukaryota; Viridiplantae; Streptophyta; Magnoliopsida; Fabales; Fabaceae.
CCUAUGGUUCGCGUUGGCACUCUCCUAUUUAGAUUACUAGCUGCUCAAUAUGGUGCAGAUAUCACAUACGGUGAGGAAAUCAUUGACCAUAAGAUGGUCAAGUGCGAGCGCCGAAUCGAUGAACUCAUUGGAUCCACUGAUUUUGUGGAGAAAGGGACGGAAAAUGUUAUGUUUAGAACUUGUGAUCAAGAAAAAGAAAGGGUUGUAUUUCAAAUGGGCACAUCUGAUGCUGUGAGGGCCCUAACUGCUUCUCAGUUA